UGCUUUGUCCCCUGACUCUUGAGUGUUGU
This 29-nucleotide non-coding RNA is filed under the name Mus musculus (house mouse). The record is from RNAcentral. Lineage: Eukaryota; Metazoa; Chordata; Mammalia; Rodentia; Muridae.